RNAcentral lists this ribosomal RNA (568 nucleotides) under Calappa flammea. RNAcentral's name for it is "partial 16S ribosomal RNA". It matches the Rfam family "Archaeal large subunit ribosomal RNA", at positions 1900 to 2702 of the family's 2987-position model. Lineage: Eukaryota; Metazoa; Arthropoda; Malacostraca; Decapoda; Calappidae. The record is from RNAcentral.
CAAAAACAUGUCCAUUAGUGUAGGUAUUAAUGGUCAAGCCUGCUCACUGACUAGUAAGUUAAAUAGCCGCGGUAUACUGACCGUGCAAAGGUAGCAUAAUCAUUAGUUUUUUAAUUGAAAACUUGUAUGAAUGGUUCGACAAAGGAAAGACUGUCUCUAUAUUAAAUAUUGAAUUUAACUUUUAAGUGAAAAGGCUUAAAUAAUUUAGGGGGACGACAAGACCCUAUAAAGCUUUAUACGUUGUUUACAUAAAAUUGAAUCAAAGAGUCAAAAAUUGUUUGUAAAUAUCUUAUUUUGUUGGGGCGACAAAGGUAAAAUUUGAAAUAACUAUUAUUAAUUUGAUUCAAUGAUAAUUGAAGUAAAAUUAAAAGAUCCUUAUUAAAGAUUUAAAAUAAGUUACUUUAGGGAUAACAGCGUAAUUUCUUUUGAGAGUCCAUAUCGAAAAAGAAGAUUGCGACCUCGAUGUUGAAUUAAGAUUUCUUUAUUGUGCAGCCGUAAUAAGAAGANGGUCUGUUCGACCUUUAAAGUCUUACAUGUAUUUGAGUUCAGACCGGCGUGAGCCAGGUUG